GAUUCGGGGUGCACCAGGCGCGAAAACUUUGCAAUAAGCGAAAGCUUGACAGGGCUAUCCCGAGUGCCAUCCGCUGAGGAAGGCUUUUACCCAGUCUAGUAAGCUGGGGGGAUAAGGAGAGGGCAAGUCUGGUGUCAGCCGCCGCGGUAAUACCAGCUCUCCGAGUGGUGUGGAUGUUUAUUGGGCCUAAAGCAUCCGUAGCUGGCUGAGUUAGUCCCCUGUUAAAUCCACCGAAUCAAUCGUUGGAUUGCGGGGGAUACUGCUCGGCUAGGGGACGGGAGAGGCAGACGGUAUUUCCGGGGUAGGGGUGAAAUCCUAUAAUCCCGGGAAGACCACCAGUGGCGAAGGCUGUCUGCUAGAACGCGCCCGACGGUGAGGGAUGAAAGCUGGGGUAGCGAACCGGAUUAGAUACCCGGGUAGUCCCAGCUGUAAACGAUGCAGGCUAGGUGUUUGGGCGGCCACGUGCCGCUCUAGUGCCGCAGGGAAGCUGUUAAGCCUGCCGCCUGGGGAGUACGAUCGCAAGAUUGAAACUUAAAGGAAUUGGCGGGGGAGCACAAUCACUAGUGAAU
Molecule: ribosomal RNA, 569 nt
Filed under: uncultured archaeon
Lineage: Archaea
Description: bacterial SSU rRNA
Rfam family: Archaeal small subunit ribosomal RNA
Source: RNAcentral